GUGCUCCUAAGGGCAGCGUUCAGGGAUUCCAUUUCGGAGAUCUGCUCCACCCUCCUGACACCAUGCUAUACUCACUGUAAAAUGUGUAGUCUUUUCUGACCCUGUAGGCUUCAUUUCAUGACAUGCAUGGCAAAGGUUUUAUAGGAUGGAGAAAAGAUAUGACAUGCAUAGUGUUUUACCUCACAUUAAACUGAUGCACAAACAUGAUUCACAUUGCUUACAGUUUACGGUCAUUAAGAGAGUCUACAAAACCAGGUGGAAAGAAAUUUUGUAUUUAACCCCUAUAGGACACAUGACAUGUGUGACAUGUCAUGAUUCCCCUUUAUUCCAGAAGUUUGGUCCUUAUGGGGUUAAAGAAAGUGAGCCAACAUUUAAAUACAAUACUAUGAGAAUCCACAUGAUCUCAACAGCAAUUUGGAAUUGACAAUUACUUUAAAUAUCCAAUUUGUUUUUUGUUUUUUUUUAACAAAAAAACAAACAAAACACAUGCAACUAGAUAUUCACAGAUGGGUAUAUUUUAAUUUUAAAAAAAUGCACAAUUAACACUUAAUGGAAUCACACAUUAGCAUAUUGUUUCUUUAAUAAUGUUUCAGUUAUAGGUCAUGAGGCAAUUUGUGAAUUGUAUAUUCUUCCUGUAAGUAUUUGUAAUUUAUCAGGUUGAAUUAAAACUAACACCAGCGCCUGCAUAUGUAUGCUAUGUAUUUCCUGAACCUUUAAUUGCUACCUAACACCUAACUGCUAUGGAAAGUUAUCAUGUACUCAAUAUGUAGGUUAUUGUAUGGUGCUUAUAUGGGGUCAUCACUUUCUGUGUGAUGCAUAACUAGAAGCGAGGGUAAAUGGGAGAUAUUUCAUACAUUAUCAUUUUGUAUUGUUAAUUAGAGAUGUGUCUUCUUGACAAUGUAUUAUGGACAGUUUGCUGGAACAAAAUGAGAAUUCAGAUGGCUGAGAUGAGAUAAUUACCUCAAACACCCAAACUAUAAUACCCAAAUACUCCAAAUA
Molecule: non-coding RNA, 999 nt
Organism: Pelobates cultripes (western spadefoot toad)
Lineage: Eukaryota; Metazoa; Chordata; Amphibia; Anura; Pelobatidae
Source: the annotation of a GenBank genome assembly